GACGAACGCUGGCGGCGUGCUUAACACAUGCAAGUCGAACGGAAAGGCCCUGCUUUUGUGGGGUGCUCGAGUGGCGAACGGGUGAGUAACACGUGAGUAACCUGCCCUUGACUUUGGGAUAACUUCAGGAAACUGGGGCUCAUACCGGAUAGGAGCUCCUGCUGCAUGGUGUGGGUUGGAAAGAUUCGGCGGUUGGGGAUCGACUCGCGGCUUAUCAGCUUGUUGGUGGGGUAGUGGCUUACCAAGGCUUUGACGGGUAGCCGGCCUGAGAGGGUGACCGGCCACAUUAGUACUGAGAUACGGCGCAGACUCCUACGGGAGGCAGCAGUGGGGAGUAUUGCACAGUGGGCGGAAGCCUGAUGCAGCAGCGCCGCGUGCGGGAUGACGGCCUACGGGUUGUAAACCGCUUUCGCAUGUGACGAAGAGUGAGUGACGGUAAUGGGUAAAAAAGCACCGGCUAACUACGUG
RNAcentral lists this ribosomal RNA (468 nucleotides) under uncultured bacterium. RNAcentral describes it as "partial 16S ribosomal RNA". It matches the Rfam family "Bacterial small subunit ribosomal RNA", at positions 28 to 507 of the family's 1533-position model. The record is from RNAcentral.